CUUUAUGAUGAGGUAAUUUGCGUUUGAUUCUUCCUGGUGGCACUCUCGCCGGAGUCGCUAUACCAGGCAGACAAGUGAUAUCCAUUUCUUACAUAUCCUGAAC
RNAcentral lists this small nucleolar RNA (103 nucleotides) under Hapsidospora chrysogenum ATCC 11550. RNAcentral describes it as "Acremonium chrysogenum ATCC 11550 A. fumigatus snoRNA Afu_514". It matches the Rfam family "A. fumigatus snoRNA Afu_514". The record is from Rfam by way of RNAcentral. Lineage: Eukaryota; Fungi; Ascomycota; Sordariomycetes; Hypocreales; Bionectriaceae.